GACAGAGGUCCCGAGCGUUAGGCGGAAUCACUGGGCUUAAAGCGUGUGUAGGCGGAUGCCUAAGUACCUUGUGAAAUCCCACGGCUCACCCGUGGAACUGCUCGGUAUACUGGGUGUCUUGAGCCACUUAGGGGCUACCGGAACAAAUGGUGGAGCGGUGAAAUGCGUAGAUAUCAUUUGGAACGCCAAUGGUGAAAACAGGUAGCUGGGAGUGUGCUGACGCUGAGACACGAAAGCCAGGGGAGCAAACAGG
Molecule: ribosomal RNA, 253 nt
Filed under: uncultured bacterium
Lineage: Bacteria
Description: partial 16S ribosomal RNA
Rfam family: Bacterial small subunit ribosomal RNA
Source: RNAcentral